This 514-nucleotide long non-coding RNA is filed under the name Zea mays. RNAcentral describes it as "long non-coding RNA NONZMAT000614". Lineage: Eukaryota; Viridiplantae; Streptophyta; Magnoliopsida; Poales; Poaceae. The record is from RNAcentral.
UAGCGGCGGCAACUUUCCGGUGGCAUCGCCUGUCGCCGUCGCUCGUCAUUGUAGGCGAUAUUAAAAAGAAAUGGAUCGAUGAUAUGAACGAAGCAGAGGGUGAUUGGAUGGAUGGUCGUGUUCUCGGUUCUCGCUUUCGUUUUCGUUUUGGGUACAGUACGUCAGUACCUGCAUUGGCACAGCAGUAGGAACACUUGACAGUUGCCGACUGGUAUAUUUCGUUUCUCUUUUCAGAAUGUUCGGUUUCCUCUGCAUCUGGCAGUCAGCUAUUCUACAGCAUGACUGAAAAGACUUGACAAAACAGCCGCCACUCUCAGUUUCUGAAAUCAUUAUUUGUCCAGAUGGUAAUGGUGGUCUCAGAAGUUAUUUUCUCAGGUUGCAUUAUUUGUCCAACCAAAUCCAGAUUUACAGUAUGAGCCACUCUGUGAGGCAGGUGUUCAGCUUUGAUGAGAAGAUUACUCGUUGAGUUCAUGUAAAACAAACAUUCGCCUCGUUCUAUUCUCUCUCUCUCUCA